This 432-nucleotide ribosomal RNA is filed under the name uncultured bacterium. RNAcentral describes it as "bacterial SSU rRNA". It matches the Rfam family "Bacterial small subunit ribosomal RNA", at positions 917 to 1345 of the family's 1533-position model. The record is from RNAcentral.
GGACCCGCACAAGCGGUGGAUCAUGUGGUUUAAUUCGAAGAUACGCGAAGAACCUUACCGGCCCUUGACAUACCAAUCGCGGACUUAAGAGAUUAAGUCUUUCACUUCGGGUGGAUUGGAUACAGGUGCUGCAUGGCUGUCGUCAGCUCGUGUCGUGAGAUGUUGGGUUAAGUCCCGCAACGAGCGCAACCCUUACCUUCAAUUGCCAGCACAUUAUGGUGGGAACUUUGAAGGAACUGCCGGUGAUAAGCCGGAGGAAGGUGGGGAUGACGUCAAGUCCUCAUGGCCCUUACGGGCCGGGCUACACACGUGAUACAAUGGUAACUACAAAGGGCAGCGAAGGAGCGAUCUGGAGCAAAUCUCAAAAAGUUACCUCAGUUCGGAUUGCACUCUGCAACUCGAGUGCAUGAAGUUGGAAUCGCUAGUAAUCGU